ACUUCAUAUAAGGGAUCACGUAAAAAACAUGUAAAUGGCUCAAUUACCCUUCCAUGAAUAUACAUACAAUUAGCACGCCUCAACCACAUUUAAGGUCUAAGAGAGAGAGUUUAAAAAUUUGAAGGAAAAAGCUGACAGUCUGGGCAUAAUUAGGCAGGAUAAGUUGGAAAAAGUAAAGGUAAAUUAGUAAAAUACGUAAAAUUUUCAAACACAGUUGAAAACGUAUGCAAUAUCCUGUUAUUAGAAACAGUAGUUUAAUGCUGGACUGAAAAUAGCGUAUGGUGGGAACGCAGAAGUUAUUUUUUAGAAUUACAAAAAAAAAAAGAGUACAUCCCUAAAAAAUACAGAGGUCAUUAUAAAUUUAGGAAAAGCAGUAGUCUAGUCUUAGACUGGAAAGAGCAACUUAUGUGAAAAAACACAUAGGUGAAAGAACAUGACAUGAAUUUAGUAGUGAAACCAAACAGACUUCAGAGAGGCAGAUUAGUUUGGGCAACUUAAAUGGGUCGAAUACGAUUAAUCAUUUUUAUUCCAGCCUAAGGCUUGCCUAGACGUUAUAACAGACAUGCAGAUUGUUCUUUAGUUUAGAGAAAAAAAACCAGUUUAUGUAGUUGAAUAAUUAAUAGGAUGGUCAAAACACUGCAAGUGUCCUAAUUGCAUGAUAUCUAAUGCACGUGAUGGUCUUAAAAACAGGAUAUCUAAAUGUAGUGGUAGAAUUUAAAUUAUUAACUGGUUAUGGUUAUGGUAAAAUAUCAGAUUGAAAGCAAAGAUCCUAGAAGCAGGAUUUCUAUAUGCAGAAUGUAUGUAUUAUACAUGAUUUCUAAUGCAUGAAUGUAUAAACGAAAUCCUAUAGGAAUGUUUUCUACGCAUACCCUUAAUAAACCUGCAUAACACUUCCCCAAUUUCACUAUAAAUCACCAUAUUUCUUUACAAAUU
Molecule: long non-coding RNA, 933 nt
Filed under: Nicotiana benthamiana
Lineage: Eukaryota; Viridiplantae; Streptophyta; Magnoliopsida; Solanales; Solanaceae
Description: long non-coding RNA (NBEN_LNC018807)
Source: RNAcentral